RNAcentral lists this ribosomal RNA (646 nucleotides) under Klebsiella pneumoniae. RNAcentral's name for it is "partial 23S ribosomal RNA". It matches the Rfam family "Bacterial large subunit ribosomal RNA", at positions 2285 to 2925 of the family's 2925-position model. The record is from RNAcentral. Lineage: Bacteria; Pseudomonadati; Pseudomonadota; Gammaproteobacteria; Enterobacterales; Enterobacteriaceae.
UCCUCCCAAAGCGUAACGGAGGAGCACGAAGGUUAGCUAAUCCUGGUCGGACAUCAGGAGGUUAGUGCAAUGGCAUAAGCUAGCUUGACUGCGAGCGUGACGGCGCGAGCAGGUGCGAAAGCAGGUCAUAGUGAUCCGGUGGUUCUGAAUGGAAGGGCCAUCGCUCAACGGAUAAAAGGUACUCCGGGGAUAACAGGCUGAUACCGCCCAAGAGUUCAUAUCGACGGCGGUGUUUGGCACCUCGAUGUCGGCUCAUCACAUCCUGGGGCUGAAGUAGGUCCCAAGGGUAUGGCUGUUCGCCAUUUAAAGUGGUACGCGAGCUGGGUUUAGAACGUCGUGAGACAGUUCGGUCCCUAUCUGCCGUGGGCGCUGGAGAAUUGAGGGGGGCUGCUCCUAGUACGAGAGGACCGGAGUGGACGCAUCACUGGUGUUCGGGUUGUCAUGCCAAUGGCACUGCCCGGUAGCUAAAUGCGGAAGAGAUAAGUGCUGAAAGCAUCUAAGCACGAAACUUGCCCCGAGAUGAGUUCUCCCUGAGACUUUAAGUCUCCUGAAGGAACGUUGAAGACGACGACGUUGAUAGGCCGGGUGUGUAAGCGCAGCGAUGCGUUGAGCUAACCGGUACUAAUGAACCGUGAGGCUUAACCUU